CCCAGAGAGAAUAUCUGGUUGAUAGGCCGGGAGUGUAAGGGCAGUAAUGUCUUAAGCGAACCGGUACUAAUAGGUCGAGGGCUUGACCUA
RNAcentral lists this ribosomal RNA (90 nucleotides) under Dethiobacter sp. Its description in RNAcentral is "partial 23S ribosomal RNA". It matches the Rfam family "Bacterial large subunit ribosomal RNA", at positions 2835 to 2925 of the family's 2925-position model. Lineage: Bacteria; Bacillati; Bacillota; Dethiobacteria; Dethiobacterales; Dethiobacteraceae. The record is from RNAcentral.